UUAUAUUUACCGAAACCUUAUCCCCUUAAGAUUCAACGCGUCUCUUCCUCAUCGCGACUACCUCGUCGUACUAAUCCGGAUUUAUCUCGAACUGAAACAUGGUUGCGGUACUCUUAUCGAGAGAAUCGAUUGCUCCGUUUCGACCUCCGAUGUCUUCGCCUCUCGUGCCAAGUUAAUCGAGUCUUAUUGUUACGCUCUCCGUGUCUUAAAUUGAAUCCUCUAUCGGAAUCUUACAGGCUAUAAAUGUCUACAUAGUUUACAAGGUUUUAGAACCAGAAUCUUUCCAAUCGAAGAAAAUGGAAUGGACUAUCGAUAUCGACGUGGAUAACUGCGACAACAAUGAGUUAUUACAUCGAUAAUUGUUUGGAAUAAGAAUCACUUAGUUGAUUUUGGUAUUUUUGAAAUAUCUUAUCAAGAUUUCCAUUAUAAAUAAUUUCUUUCUUUCUAAAUAUAACUGAUAUUUUUUAUGUUUCAGCGAUGUUUAGAAUAAUUUACGAUGGAUUAGAUUUAGGUUAGGUUCGCAUUACGUCACGUCUAAAAUUAAACAAAUUUGAAUUCAAUACAUAUUUAUUUGUGUAUCGAAACUUAACUAAAAUUAAUCCAAUAUUGAUCUAGAUUUAUCGCAACGUAUAUCUUACUUAUCCCUGAAGGAUGUUCAAUUUAUCUAACCUCAUCAUCUUCGAAAUAAUUUUAUCUACUGCACAUACGUCGUUAAGCAAUCCUUGAUCAGAACGUCAGAUUCGCAAGUUCCCUUUUAAUAAUAUAGAUAGAACGAAGAGAUAGUUCAACGAUAGUUUCAACGAGUUAACCACGCACACACGCGGCGAUGGUAAAGACGAUCUAAAAUAACCGUAGAUUACUCGAGCCUUCCCCGAUAACAAACGAUCAGAAUCCCGAGGACGCGACAGGGGGAGCCAGUUGGCAGGCCGAGCGCAAAUUAAGUAAUUUCAUCGUGGCUGAAGUGUUACUCGAACCGGUGAAUGGAAAUGGAUGAGGACAUUAUCGAUCGAGCAAUCUUGCGGCCGUUCGUUAUUUCGUGUCCGGCUUAUGGCCGUUCGGGAACUGAAUGCAUCCAAUCACAAGUAAAUAUAUUUCUAUGACGAUCUAGCGGUCCCAUUUAGACAUCUUUGUUCGUUUAAUUGGUCGUGGCGGCUUGGAUGCCACGUAUACCGAGCCGCUCCUCUCGUAACGAUGAAUGCGCGCACACGGCUCCCCUCCCCUCGUCUUCCAUUCCUAGGAUCCGAUUAAUUCCUACCAUCGGCCGAUAAUUUAUGGCUGGCCAUGCGUUACGCUCUCCACCUUCCUCCCUGCUCGUUUCACGGCAAAACCUCUUCGUAUCUGUCACACCUUCCUCUAAUUGCCGUGAACACGCGAGAAUCUAAGGCAGCGAGCGGCGGCUUCUCUACCUUCUCUUCACUCCGUGGCUCUCCGUUUCGAGGAAUCGGAUUCUCGAGGAAAACUGGCUCGUCGACUUCUCCGUUCUUGCCAUAAAUGAUCGGAAUUCACGCCGGAAAAAUAUUUUUUGCCGGAUAGAAAAAACGACUCGGAUGACAAAGUGAUCGAUCGAAGUUGGUCGCGCGAUUAAUUUCAUGAUUAUGACAUUUAUUGCUAGUUUUUUAUUUAUUCGGCAAAAUUAUAGGUUAAUGGCCGCCUGUGAAAGCGUUAUCGAUCUUAUAACUUAACAUUAUUCGAUUAAAAAUUUAGCUAUUUAAUUUUUAUAUUAACGUUAUUUUUAUUUCCAGGAAAUGAAACAAAAAUCUUUAAAAAUUUUAUCCGUUUCCAGGAAUAUCUAUUGUGCAGGAAUCUCUUGCAUUUUUGCAGGAAUGGCAUUGGAUUGUUGAUCAUUUUGUAGAGUUACAAAAAAAAAAAAACUGAAAUUCAAUUUUGCCAGUUCUAUUAAUAUUACGGAUCGAAGUAUAUGGUUCCUUCGAAAUAUAUUACACGACGUCCCAGGAGAGAGAGGAUGCUUUUGUUUCGAGAGUUACGUGAGUCGAUAUCAAGGGACAACCUCAAUCAUUGUUAUACUCGUAUAUGCCAUCGGUAACAAGUUUCAUCUGCUAAAACUUGUGCGGAAAAUAUAUAGGAGGAAUCGAUCGAUCGUCGAUAUUUCGAAAUAAGCUCCUGCACUAUCCUCAUUUCGAAGCCCAAGAUAUCUUUAUAUCUAUAUAGACAAAAACACCUAUAAAUUUAUCACGAUUUAAAUAGUAAUCAACACCACUAUCAUAAAAUUUACACGCGAGAAUAAAAUUUCUCUAUCGACUCGUCUGUCGUUCGAAUCGGGAUAGAAGACAGGAAGGCAGGCAGGCAGGCCAAAGGAGCAAAGGUGGGAUUAGCAUAACGCGCGGAACCGGCGAUCUGACUGGCGUUCAGCUCGAUUGUGGUUAGUUAAUGGUCGCCGAGUAGUCGUUAUUCUCGGCCGGCAAUACGCCGUGUAAGUCUCUACCUUGUGCGUGCAAUCUAGCGGCAUGAUCCGCGUAUAUAAAUUAUUAUUGUCCGGCCAACGAGGUGUAUCGAUGGGCGGUCGCAGCGCUGUCGCUUGUCGACGCCCAUGCUCGCAGUUCGCGAGAUCGCGAGGCCACGCUUAAACGCCUUUUCCGCCUUUUGCGCGUUUGAGAAAGAGUUGGCCUAAACUAACCUACAAAAAUUAAUCGGAUAAAAUUUCGUAUAAAGUUACUUAAGUUAAUAAUGAAUGGACCUCGUUUAAAUGAAAAAGAAGAUAUAUCUUUACGAAGAAAGAAAAAGAAAUAGUUACUUUCUUUAUUUUUAAAAAUAUAUUACUUACUUAUUUUUCCAUAUAAUUCAUUAUCUGCGACACAUAUAAUAUAUCUUCGCUUCCCUAGUUUUUGUAAUCCGUGAAAAAUCAAUUUCUCUGGAAUUCAUUCAGACUGAUCUAAGAGAUUUUCCUGUUUUUGAAAUUAAAUGAAAAGUAAACAUUUUAGCUGUAGUGAAAAAAUGAUUUUUUUUUUGUGAAUAGAUAAUUACAGUAAAGGUGAAGAAGAAAAUAAUUUUAAAAAUAAAGAAUAAAGAUUUCUUUUUAUCGUUGUUUCAUAAAGAUAUGUAUUUUUUUUUUUAUUUAAGUAAAAUCUUUGUUUAUAACUCCAUUCAUUCAUCGCUAUUUAUUUAUUCGAUGCUUAAGUAAUAAAUUAUUCAAGUAAUUUACCGAAGUAACAUUAUUCUCUUUAACUUCAACCGUUAAAUAAAAUUUUGCUUAUCUCUGCUUGUUAAAGUGUCUCGCGGUCCACGCCUAACUUCUAUUAACGGUUGAAUUUGGUUGAUAAGCAUGAUCGAUAACGCUUUGCACGUAGUAACGACUGCUGAAGAGUGAUGAUCAAAGUUGAAUUUGCCUCGAGAAUAGUCGCUUUGAUUAUAUCUCUCUAUUGAAUACAAUGAGGAAUUGAUUGUCGAUGCUCUUUUUUUCCUGCGCUGUUUGUUUGUGUAUAAUUCAGUGAAAUUAAACAAUCAAGUAUGUCGUACAAUUUAUACAUAAAUCAUAGAAUUCUUAACAAUAUUCUUACAAAAUGUUUUAAUGUGAUAUAGACUGCGUUUGAAUAUUAACAAUAACAAUUGUAUGUAAUAUUAUUAAAAAAUACUAUUGAGAUAUUAUAGUAAUCCAAUAUACAAAUAUUAAAAUUAAUCUGCUUUAACAAUUGUAUAUAAAAUUAUUGAAAAAUACAAUAAUUGUUAUCAAGAUGGAAAAAUAUAUAAUUCACGAAUAUUAAAAUUAAUCUGUUUUAAAAAUAACAAUUGUAAUAUUAUCGAAAAAUACGAAUAUGAUAAUUGUUAAUAUGAAAAUGAAAAAAUAUUAAAAUUGAAAUUUUUCCAAGUAA
This is a long non-coding RNA of Apis cerana (Asiatic honeybee), 3827 nucleotides long. RefSeq lists it as uncharacterized. The record is from RefSeq and is a predicted model, not a curated record. NCBI's taxonomy places the organism in Eukaryota, Metazoa, Arthropoda, Insecta, Hymenoptera, Apidae.